Molecule: ribosomal RNA, 753 nt
Filed under: uncultured Actinomyces sp.
Lineage: Bacteria; Bacillati; Actinomycetota; Actinomycetes; Actinomycetales; Actinomycetaceae
Description: bacterial SSU rRNA
Rfam family: Bacterial small subunit ribosomal RNA
Source: RNAcentral
GACGAACGCUGGCGGCGUGCUUAACACAUGCAAGUCGAACGCUGAAGGCUCAGCUUGCUGGGCUGGAUGAGUGGCGAACGGGUGAGUAACACGUGAGUAACCUGCCCUCUUCUUUGGGAUAACGGUCGGAAACGGCUGCUAAUACCGGGUAUUCACUGUCCUUCGCAUGGGGGGUGGUGGAAAGGUUUUUUCUGGUGGGGGAUGGGCUCGCGGCCUAUCAGCUUGUUGGUGGGGUGAUGGCUUACCAAGGCUUUGACGGGUAACCGGCCUGAGAGGGUGACCGGUCACAUUGGGACUGAGAUACGGCCCAGACUCCUACGGGAGGCAGCAGUGGGGAAUAUUGCACAAUGGGCGAAAGCCUGAUGCAGCGACGCCGCGUGAGGGAUGAAGGCCUUCGGGUUGUAAACCUCUUUCGCUCAUGGUCAAGCCGCAACUUUGGGUUGUGGUGAGGGUAGUGGGUAAAGAAGCACCGGCUAACUACGUGCCAGCAGCCGCGGUAAUACGUAGGGUGCGAGCGUUGUCCGGAAUUAUUGGGCGUAAAGGGCUUGUAGGCGGUUUGUCGCGUCUGCCGUGAAAUCCUCUGGCUUAACUGGGGGCGUGCGGUGGGUACGGGCAGACUUGAGUGCGGUAGGGGAGACUGGAACUCCUGGUGUAGCGGUGGAAUGCGCAGAUAUCAGGAAGAACACCGGUGGCGAAGGCGGGUCUCUGGGCCGUUACUGACGCUGAGGAGCGAAAGCGUGGGGAGCGAACAGG